RNAcentral lists this unclassified non-coding RNA (263 nucleotides) under uncultured fungus. Its description in RNAcentral is "sequence contains ITS1". The record is from RNAcentral. Lineage: Eukaryota; Fungi.
GUAUUGAUUGCGUGUUAUCGCAAAAAUGGGGUCACUCUACACUUUUAAAAGGGGGGGGUUUGUGUGAAAACGCAAGCCCCCUCCCAGAUUGGUUUGACCCUGAAGGGUGCCCACACGGUGUUGCACAAAAGGGUGAGAUAGAUUUUAUGUGAGAGGACACACUCUGGUGUGCACAACUUUUUGUGUUAAAAGUCAGCGACAGCCCUCGUGUGCCUCACACAUUUUGUACGAUAAUGAUAUUUCUGCAGGUUCACCUACAGAAA